AUUUAUAUAGUUUAACAAAAACAUUACAUUUUCACUGUAAAAAUAAAAAUUAAUUUUUUAUAAAUA
This 66-nucleotide transfer RNA is filed under the name Culex fergusoni. Its description in RNAcentral is "tRNA-Glu". It matches the Rfam family "tRNA". Rfam says of the family: Transfer RNA (tRNA) molecules are approximately 80 nucleotides in length. Their secondary structure includes four short double-helical elements and three loops (D, anti-codon, and T loops). The record is from RNAcentral. Lineage: Eukaryota; Metazoa; Arthropoda; Insecta; Diptera; Culicidae.